GAAGUCACAGAGUACAUUUGUCCUCCUUCCCCUUCUUCAACCCAAUCUAGGUGGCAAGAUGUUGCAAUAAACACAAGACAGCUGGAGGUGGAAGACAGCCCAAGCAAGCAGGCCAUCUACUGGCCCAGGUCUUAAGAGGAAGUUUCUUCAUGGCAGGGAGAGGAUGAAAGAAGCUGGGCAUACAUCUUGCCGCAGAAGCUGGCAGAAAGCAGCAAGAGGAACUGGGACCAAUGAUCACCAGCUGCCCAUGUACCAAAAAAUUAUGCUUCUGAAAUCUCUUGAUGUUGAUUCUGCAUGCAGAGCAACUGAAUUGUCCUAUGUGUGCCACUCACGGCACAAGCCCUUUUUGGUAAGGCAGUCUUAACAAAUAAUAGUAUAACUACUUUA
This is a long non-coding RNA of Jaculus jaculus (lesser Egyptian jerboa), 387 nucleotides long. RefSeq lists it as uncharacterized. The record is from RefSeq and is a predicted model, not a curated record. NCBI's taxonomy places the organism in Eukaryota, Metazoa, Chordata, Mammalia, Rodentia, Dipodidae. The transcript has 3 exons.